RNAcentral lists this ribosomal RNA (482 nucleotides) under uncultured bacterium. RNAcentral's name for it is "partial 16S ribosomal RNA". It matches the Rfam family "Bacterial small subunit ribosomal RNA", at positions 30 to 507 of the family's 1533-position model. The record is from RNAcentral.
AUUGAACGCUGGCGGCAUGCUUUACACAUGCAAGUCGAACGGUAACAGGUCUUCGGAUGCUGACGAGUGGCGAACGGGUGAGUAAUACAUCGGAACGUGCCUAGUAGUGGGGGAUAACUACUCGAAAGAGUAGCUAAUACCGCAUGAGAUCUACGGAUGAAAGCAGGGGACCUUCGGGCCUUGUGCUACUAGAGCGGCUGAUGGCAGAUUAGGCAGUUGUUGGGGUAAAGGCUUACCAAGCCGGCGAUCUGUAGCUGGUCUGAGAGGACGACCAGCCACACUGGGACUGAGACACGGCCCAGACUCCUACGGGAGGCAGCAGUGGGGAAUUUUGGACAAUGAGCGAAAGCCUGAUCCAGCAAUGCCGCGUGCAGGAUGAAGGCCCUCGGGUUGUAAACUGCUUUUGUACGGAACGAAAAGCCUGGGGCUAAUAUCCCCGGGUCAUGACGGUACCGUAAGAAUAAGCACCGGCUAACUACGUG